GAGGGUGCAGCUCAGCGAUGGAGCACUUGCUUAGCACACAUGAGGUCCUGGGUUCAAUCCCCAGUGCCUCCA
This 72-nucleotide transfer RNA is filed under the name Camelus bactrianus (Bactrian camel). It matches the Rfam family "tRNA". Rfam says of the family: Transfer RNA (tRNA) molecules are approximately 80 nucleotides in length. Their secondary structure includes four short double-helical elements and three loops (D, anti-codon, and T loops). Lineage: Eukaryota; Metazoa; Chordata; Mammalia; Artiodactyla; Camelidae. The record is from Rfam by way of RNAcentral. RNAcentral also lists the same sequence under 2 other names.